RNAcentral lists this ribosomal RNA (492 nucleotides) under uncultured bacterium. Its description in RNAcentral is "partial 16S ribosomal RNA". It matches the Rfam family "Bacterial small subunit ribosomal RNA", at positions 29 to 507 of the family's 1533-position model. The record is from RNAcentral.
AGUGAACGCUGGCGGUAGGCCUAACACAUGCAAGUCGAACGGCAGCACAGUAAGAGCUUGCUCUUACGGGUGGCGAGUGGCGGACGGGUGAGGAAUACAUCGGAAUCUACUUUUUCGUGGGGGAUAACGUAGGGAAACUUACGCUAAUACCGCAUACGACCUACGUGUGAAAGCAGGGGAUCUUCGGACCUUGCGCGAUCGAAUGAGCCGAUGUCGGAUUAGCUAGUUGGCGGGGUAAAGGCCCACCAAGGCGACGAUCCGUAGCUGGUCUGAGAGGAUGAUCAGCCACACUGGAACUGAGACACGGUCCAGACUCCUACGGGAGGAAGCAGUGGGGAAUAUUGGACAAUGGGCGCAAGCCUGAUCCAGCCAUACCGCGUGGGUGAAGAAGGCCUUCGGGUUGUAAAGCCCUUUUGUUGGGAAAGAAAAGCAGCAGGUUAAUACCCCGCUGUUCUGACGGUACCCAAAGAAUAAGCACCGGCUAACUUCGUG